RNAcentral lists this ribosomal RNA (912 nucleotides) under Tricharia similis. RNAcentral's name for it is "SSU rRNA". It matches the Rfam family "Bacterial small subunit ribosomal RNA", at positions 365 to 1299 of the family's 1533-position model. The record is from RNAcentral. Lineage: Eukaryota; Fungi; Ascomycota; Lecanoromycetes; Ostropales; Graphidaceae.
UGGUCAAUAGCCUAACGGCUGAACCAGCAACUUGGAGGAACGAAAACCGAAGUCAUGAGCGGUUGCCAUGUUAAUUGAAUGUGGGGCAUAAUUGCGAAUAGUUCGAAAUAAAUCUUGAUAAUGACAUAAUUUGUUUCAAGGUCUUGACCAACUCAUGUGCCAGCAGUCGCGGUAAGACAUGGAAGGCCAGCGUUAUUCAUCUUUAUUAGGUUUAAAGGGUACCUAGACGGUAAAUAUUCGCUUUUUUCUCUAAAGAUUAUUGUACUUAUUUACUAGAGUUUUAUGUAAGGAAGUUCAGAACGGUGAGUGUAGGGAUCAAAUCCGUUGAUACCACUUAGAAACUGGUAUAGGUGAAAACAGGGUCUUAUGUAGUAACUGACGUUGAGGGACGAAGGCUCAACACAAGCAACGGGAUUAGUUACCCCAGUACUAAGAGCAGACAAUGAUGAAUGUUAUACGUAAGAUAAAUUUUUUUUGUAUAAAUGAAAAUGAAAGCAUUCCACCUCAAGAGUAAUAUGGCAACAUAUAAACUGAAAUCAUUAGGCCGUUUCUGGAAUUCGUAAUGAAGUAUGUUAUUUAAUUUGAUAGCCCCCAAAGGACCUUACCACAAUGUGUAUAGCUAUAUACGUAAGUAUAUUUCGGACAAGUGUUGCACGGCUGUCUGCAGUUGAUGCCGUGAGGAUUGGAGCAAUUCAUAAAUCAACGAAAUCCCUGACUUUAUUUAAAUUAAAGUAUUAAUACUGGUAUAUGUGUCCAUAUCCAAAUUUAAUAAAUGGGAACAUGACAAGUCAUCAUGGCCAAACAUACAAAUUGAUAGUAUUGUGGGCGAUAGACGUGCCACGUUUAACUUAGACAAAAAGAUGCACAAUCGAAAGAUCUAGCUAAUCUUUAAAAUAAGAAAGAGUAUGGAUU